Molecule: transfer RNA, 72 nt
Filed under: Risleya atropurpurea
Lineage: Eukaryota; Viridiplantae; Streptophyta; Magnoliopsida; Asparagales; Orchidaceae
Description: tRNA-Gln
Rfam family: tRNA
About the family: Transfer RNA (tRNA) molecules are approximately 80 nucleotides in length. Their secondary structure includes four short double-helical elements and three loops (D, anti-codon, and T loops).
Source: RNAcentral
UGGGACGUAGCCAAGUGGUAAGGCAACGGUUUUUGGUUCCGUUAUUCGGAGGUUCAAACCCUUCCGUCCUAG